UUCGCAAUGCCCGAAAGGGUGACGAAGCGACGCCGCGUGUGGGAAGAAGGCCUUCGGGUUGUAAACCACUGUCAGGAGUUAAGAAAUGCAAGGGUGUUAACAGCAUCCUUGCUUGACUAAGGCUCCGGAGGAAGCCACGGCUAACUCUGUGCCAGCAGCCGCGGUAAUACAGAGGCGGCAAGCGUUGUUCGGAAUUAUUGGGCGUAAAGAGCACGUAGGCGGCUGUGUAAGUCGGUCGUGAAAGCCUUCCGCUCAACGGGAGAACGGCAUCCGAUACUGCAUGGCUUGAGUGCGGGAGGGGAGAGUGGAACUUCUGGUGGAGCGGUGAAAUGCGUAGAUAUCAGAAGGAACGCCGGCGGCGAAAGCGGCUCUCUGGCCCAUAACUGACGCUGAGUGUGCGAAAGCUAGGGGAGCAAACGGGAUUAGAUACCCCGGUAGUCCUAGCCGUAAACGAUGGGCACUAAGUAGAGGGGUUUU
Molecule: ribosomal RNA, 477 nt
Filed under: uncultured anaerobic ammonium-oxidizing bacterium
Lineage: Bacteria
Description: bacterial SSU rRNA
Rfam family: Bacterial small subunit ribosomal RNA
Source: RNAcentral